RNAcentral lists this ribosomal RNA (775 nucleotides) under uncultured Neocallimastigales. RNAcentral describes it as "partial large subunit ribosomal RNA". It matches the Rfam family "Eukaryotic large subunit ribosomal RNA", at positions 24 to 644 of the family's 3401-position model. Lineage: Eukaryota; Fungi; Neocallimastigomycota; Neocallimastigomycetes; Neocallimastigales. The record is from RNAcentral.
UAUGUGAUCGUCUCUCGCAUAUCAAUAAGCGGAGGAAAAGAAACUAACAAGGAUUCCCCUAGUAACGGCGAGUGAAGCGGGAAGAGCUCAAAUUUGAAAUCUUAAAGGGUUUCCCUUUACGAAUUGUAGUUUAAAGAAGUGUUUUCUGUUGAGGUUUUGGUAAAAGUUCUUUGGAAUAGGACAUCAUAGAGGGUGAGAAUCCCGUAUUCGACCUUUACUUUCAACUUUGUGAUACACUUUCAAAGAGUCGGAUUGUUUGGGAAUGCAGUCCAAAAUGGGUGGUAAAUUUCAUCUAAAGCUAAAUAUUGGCGAGAGACCGAUAGCGAACAAGUACCGUGAGGGAAAGAUGAAAAGAACUUUGAAAAGAGAGUUAAACAGUACGUGAAAUUGUCAAAAGGGAAGCGUUUGACACCAGUGUUGUUUUUCUGAAAAUCAAUUAAAGAACUGUUUAUGCUAAGUUGUUUAGACUUUAUCAGCUUAACUGUUUAGUUUUGAGCUUUUCUUUAAUGCACUUUUCAGUUAACAAGUCAACAUCAAUUUCUUUUGCUGUAAAAAAGCUUGAGGAAGGUGGCUUGAGAUUCGUCUUAAGUGUUUAUAGCCUCUUGCCUAUGCAGUCGGAGAGAUUGAGGUCUGCAGCGUAGAUCCUUCGGGGCUAAAUGCAUUUGUGCUAAGUUAUAGCAUUUUAUAGACAACUUGUUGACUAUGAUUUGUCUUGUAGCUUACUCGCUUAUGUUAUUUUACCUACGCUUAGGAUGUUGAUAUCGCGCUCUCACUG